AGCGAACGCUGGCGGCAGGCUUAACACAUGCAAGUCGAGCGGGCCCUUCGGGGUCAGCGGCAGACGGGUGAGUAACACGUGGGAACGUACCCUUUGGUUCGGAAUAACGCUGGGAAACUAGCGCUAAUACCGGAUACGCCCUUUUGGGGAAAGGCUUGCUGCCGAAGGAUCGGCCCGCGUCUGAUUAGCUAGUUGGUGGGGUAAUGGCCUACCAAGGUGACGAUCAGUAGCUGGUCUGAGAGGAUGAUCAGCCACACUGGGACUGAGACACGGCCCAGACUCCUACGGGAGGCAGCAGUGGGGAAUAUUGGACAAUGGGCGCAAGCCUGAUCCAGCCAUGCCGCGUGAGUGAUGAAGGCCUUAGGGUUGUAAAGCUCUUUUGUCCGGGACGAUAAUGACGGUACCGGAAGAAUAAGCCCCGGCUAACUUCGUG
RNAcentral lists this ribosomal RNA (433 nucleotides) under uncultured bacterium. RNAcentral describes it as "partial 16S ribosomal RNA". It matches the Rfam family "Bacterial small subunit ribosomal RNA", at positions 29 to 507 of the family's 1533-position model. The record is from RNAcentral.